GGGGAUUUAGCUCAGUGGCAUAAGCACAUGCCUUGCAAGCAUGCAAUCGUUCGAUCCCCG
RNAcentral lists this transfer RNA (60 nucleotides) under Cavia porcellus (domestic guinea pig). It matches the Rfam family "tRNA". Rfam says of the family: Transfer RNA (tRNA) molecules are approximately 80 nucleotides in length. Their secondary structure includes four short double-helical elements and three loops (D, anti-codon, and T loops). Further hydrogen bonds mediate the characteristic L-shaped molecular structure. tRNAs have two regions of fundamental functional importance: the anti-codon, which is responsible for specific mRNA codon recognition, and the 3' end, to which the tRNAs corresponding amino acid is attached (by aminoacyl-tRNA synthetases). tRNAs cope with the degeneracy of the genetic code in two manners: having more than one tRNA (with a specific anti-codon) for a particular amino acid; and 'wobble' base-pairing, i.e. permitting non-standard base-pairing at the 3rd anti-codon position. The record is from Rfam by way of RNAcentral. Lineage: Eukaryota; Metazoa; Chordata; Mammalia; Rodentia; Caviidae.